Pygocentrus nattereri (red-bellied piranha) is the source of this 914-nucleotide long non-coding RNA. RefSeq lists it as uncharacterized. The record is from RefSeq and is a predicted model, not a curated record. The transcript has 4 exons. Lineage: Eukaryota; Metazoa; Chordata; Actinopteri; Characiformes; Serrasalmidae.
GCUGCGCUCGCCAACCAAUCAGCACUAAGUAGCAGUAGUGCUAGCGUCCUGCUGCCUUUGCUGUUGAGAAAAAGGAAACAUACAGCAAACGGGUUUGGGGCAGCAGGAGGCGGGGUUUACUGCUAGACCGUGAUGAUUGAUUGGCUGUUCGCCCCCACUGACGUCAUGGAUAUCGAUGAGAACCCUGGCCUUAUCAUUCCAGGCAAGAGAGGCGUCCCUGCUCCAGACUCCCUGCAUCUCCCUGCGUCUGUGUGGCCUAGAUGGGAGGAACAGAAACUGCUGAACAGGAACUGCCAAGCUAAAUCCAUAGAACAAGGUCACGGAUUUGCUUUCCACCACCUGCAGUAGCCGUCUUUUGAAGCCCACCCUGGAAAACUAUACAGAAAGCAGCUGGUGGGACGUUCGAUCUCCGGCUGUGGAAGUCCCAAAUGUUCAAACCUCAUAUCCAAACAUGCUUCAUCUUCCAGCUCCCCCUCCUCAGUGCUCCUCUACCCAACCCUGCAUGACCCUCCUUUUGGGGUGUGUGUGUGAGGUGGUCUGCUGGAAUAAAGUAAGGGGCCCCACUUUGGCCUUGGACCAUUCUCAGGAGAAAAGUUUCAGACUCUGUCAAUCUUUAUUCUUAGGCUUUGCCAGCAGUAGUGAGGAAAGGGUCAGGGUGCAAUCUUCAUUAUAUGUUCUUGAGGGGAAAAGGGGUCAUUAGAAGCUGUUAUUUUAUAGUCUAGACUGGAUACAUUUAUAUUAAUAUAUGAAUAUAAAAAUGUGGUCUACACUAUACAUCUGUUUGUGCAAUGUAGACUCAUAUAAAGACCAUUGUCUAAUGCAUUGAUCAGAAAGUACUGAUUCUACUGCAUCAAUUUUGAAAUGAAUCAAUCAAAUGUACUAAUUUUCACACCAAAUUAAAAUUCUUCAAUUUA